RNAcentral lists this ribosomal RNA (40 nucleotides) under Lactarius hatsudake. RNAcentral's name for it is "partial 28S ribosomal RNA". Lineage: Eukaryota; Fungi; Basidiomycota; Agaricomycetes; Russulales; Russulaceae. RNAcentral also lists the same sequence under 1 other name. The record is from RNAcentral.
UGACCUCAAAUCGGGUGAGACUACCCGCUGAACUUAAGCU